CAGAGUUGGAUGAGUAAUCUAGUAUUACUCAGUGAGCUGGCGGCCUAUACCCGCAACCUAGACUCUAACCCAGACAACCCAAAAUAACAAUCAAUCUAGCCCUAGCAUGCAAUAUAAGCUAAGGUUAAGCAAGCUGUUACUAAGUUAGACUUGGCCUUUUACCAUAAUCCAACUUCCAAUUAACGGGAACCUGCAUUAAAACAAGUCAACAACCAAUCCUUAGUUAACCAUAUAUACGCCUGAGUUCAGUAC
RNAcentral lists this long non-coding RNA (252 nucleotides) under Brassica napus (rape). RNAcentral describes it as "long non-coding RNA (BNAP_LNC014244)". Lineage: Eukaryota; Viridiplantae; Streptophyta; Magnoliopsida; Brassicales; Brassicaceae. The record is from RNAcentral.